This 1225-nucleotide long non-coding RNA is filed under the name Solanum tuberosum (potato). Its description in RNAcentral is "long non-coding RNA (STUB_LNC005852)". Lineage: Eukaryota; Viridiplantae; Streptophyta; Magnoliopsida; Solanales; Solanaceae. The record is from RNAcentral.
AAUCAGUCCACAAACACAAGGAAAUAAAUUAAAUUAGCGUUUUUUUACCAAAAAUACGACAAGUAAGACUCUAUUUAAGACAAUAUUUAAGGAAGGAAGGAUUUUUAUUUUUAUUUUAUUCUCCUUUCUUUUAUUUUAUUUCCUUAACAGGUGAGAGCACAAAACAGUAAAACUUAACCGACACAGUAAGAGUCUACUUCAAAUUCUAACUAUGACAAAUAAUCAAUUAAAAUAGCCGGUAAUACAAUCAAGCAGGAAUAGGUGAUUAUCUAAGGUAAAGAAAUAAUUUACAGCUCAAUUUUAACCAUGACCAGACAAGAUUUGCCAGAAUAAUUAAUAUAUAUAGCAACCUAAUCAAUUCGAUUUACCAAUUUACCUGCAAAAUUGUCAUCAAAUCAACAAGUACCACAACACCAAUUAAGGGCAGUUGGCAAAUAAUAAGGAGGUAACAAGUAUCACGGUUUACCAAAUUAGAUUAAAAAAACUAACCUCUACUUUUAACAGAGGACAAGAGUAAGCAAAUUAAUGAACUCAUCAAGCUAAUCGAGUAGUAAUUCAGUUUGGCGCAAUCAAUUUCACAACAGUAACACAUGCCAAACUUUAGCAACAGGGUUAUAACCACAUAUAUGAACAGGAAGAGAUAAUCACAUGAACUCAGAAGGAUAUACCUGGACAGAUUCAUAAGAAUCUGUAAUAAACCUUUUCAAAAUUACCGAAGAUAGUGACAAAUUCUCUUGAAGUCAUUUUAUUUUUGUCUCGCCGCCUCUCGUUGCUGCUGCUGGUCGUUGUUUGCACCGGCCGAAGUUGUCCUCACUGGCGCUGCUGCUUGUUCUCCUCGUCAGCUGCUGUUGUUGUCGUCCGUCGCUGCUGGACGGAGCAGCUGUUGCUGCUGUUUUCUCGCCGAGCUGCUGCUGCUGCUUCGCUGGAGUUGCUGUAGACCGGAGCUGCUGCUGCUGCUGUCACCGGCUGAAGCUGCUGCUGCUGUCACCGGCUGAAGCUGCUGCUCGCUGGUUGUGGCUGCUACUGGUGCUGCUGGUCGCCGGACGGAGCUGCUGGUCGGAGCAGUUGUUGUUGCUGCUAGCUGAGAGAGGAGAGAACGGAGAAGAGGCGAGGGGAGAGAUGGAGGCCAGCGGCUGCCUCUUGGUGGUGGCGAUUUUCGCCGGAGACGGAUGGGAAGGAGAGAGAGAGGCGGCUGCUAGAGAGGGAGAGAGGAGAGAAAAAUUAU